UUUUAAACACUAUACUUCACCCAAAGGAGGCAUGUAUUCAGAUUUACAGUUCUUUGAAGGAAAAACAAUUGUGAGAGAAUACCCAAAAUUAUAUUUCUUCUUUUCUUUUAUUUUUAUUACUAGUUAAUGAUGAAUCUUAUCUUAUUUUGUUUACCCAUAGCCAUGAGUAGCUAAAUUCCUUGUCUAAGAUUUUGAUGGAACUUAUUGGGG
RNAcentral lists this long non-coding RNA (210 nucleotides) under Nicotiana benthamiana. RNAcentral describes it as "long non-coding RNA (NBEN_LNC017126)". The record is from RNAcentral. Lineage: Eukaryota; Viridiplantae; Streptophyta; Magnoliopsida; Solanales; Solanaceae.